AGACUCUCCGGAUCAUACCUGGAGAGUUUCCAGUCCUCUACCAGUCUUGGCUACAGGAGGGAGAGGGAAGCAGAGGCCUGUCCAUUCCAUUCCUAGCUUGGCCAGUGGCUAGCGAGUGGAAGACCAUCUGCUGCACAU
Molecule: small nucleolar RNA, 138 nt
Organism: Tachyglossus aculeatus (Australian echidna)
Lineage: Eukaryota; Metazoa; Chordata; Mammalia; Monotremata; Tachyglossidae
Source: RefSeq, a predicted model, not a curated record